GAUGAACGCUGGCGGCGUGCCUAAUACAUGCAAGUCGAGCGAAUGGAUUGAGAGCUUGCUCUUAUGAAGUUAGCGGCGGACGGGUGAGUAACACGUGGGUAACCUGCCCAUAAGACUGGGAUAACUCCGGGAAACCGGGGCUAAUACCGGAUAACAUUUUGAACCGCAUGGUUCGAAAUUGAAAGGCGGCUUCGGCUGUCACUUAUGGAUGGACCCGCGUCGCAUUAGCUAGUUGGUGAGGUAACGGCUCACCAAGGCAACGAUGCGUAGCCGGCCUGGGAGGGUGAUCGGCCACACUGCGACUGAGACACGGCCCAGACUCCUACGGGAGGCAGCAGUAGGGAAUCUUCCGCAAUGGACGAAAGUCUGACGGAGCAACGCCGCGUGAGUGAUGAAGGCUUUCGGGUCGUAAAACUCUGUUGCUAGGGAGGAACAAGUGCUAGUUGAAUAAGCUGGCACCUUGACGGUACCUAACCAGAAAGCCACGGCUAACUACGUGCCAGCCGCCGCCGUAA
Molecule: ribosomal RNA, 515 nt
Filed under: uncultured bacterium
Lineage: Bacteria
Description: partial 16S ribosomal RNA
Rfam family: Bacterial small subunit ribosomal RNA
Source: RNAcentral